GGGGGGACGCAGUAGGAUAGGCGAAGCGUGCUGUUGGAGUGCACGUCCAAGCAGUAAGGCUGAGUGUUAGGCAAAUCCGGCACUCGUUAGGCUGAGCUGUGAUGGGGAGAGGAAAUUGUUUCCUCGAGUCGUUGAUUUCACACUGCCGAGAAAAGCCUCUAGAUAGAUAACAGGUGCCCGUACCGCAAACCGACACAGGUAGUCAAGAUGAGAAUUCUAAGGUGAGCGAGCGAACUCUCGUUAAGGAACUCGGCAAAAUGACCCCGUAACUUCGGGAGAAGGGGUGCUCUUUAGGGUUCACGCCCAGAAGAGCCGCAGUGAAUAGGCCCAAGCGACUGUUUAUCAAAAACACAGGUCUCUGCUAAACCGUAAGGUGAUGUAUAGGGGCUGACGCCUGCCCGGUGCUGGAAGGUUAAGAGGAGUGGUUAGCUUCUGCGAAGCCACGAAUCGAAGCCCCAGUAAACGGCGGCCGUAACUAUAACGGUCCUAAGGUAGCGAAAUUCCUUGUCGGGUAAGUUCCGACCCGCACGAAAGGCGUAACGAUUUGGGCACUGUCUCAACGAGAGACUCGGUGAAAUCAUAGUACCUGUGAAGAUGCAGGUUACCCGCGACAGGACGGAAAGACCCCGUGGAGCUUUACUGUAGCCUGAUAUUGAAAUUCGGCACAGCUUGUACAGGAUAGGUAGGAGCCAUUGAAACGUGAGCGCUAGCUUACGUGGAGGCGUUGGUGGGAUACUACCCUAGCUGUGUUGGCUUUCUAACCCGCACCACUUAUCGUGGUGGGAGACAGUGUCAGGCGGGCAGUUUGACUGGGGCGGUCGCCUCCUAAAAGGUAACGGAGGCGCUCAAAGGUUCCCUCAGAAUGGUUGGAAAUCAUUCACAGAGUGUAAAGGCAUAAGGGAGCUUGACUGCGAGACUUACAAGUCGAGCAGGGUCGAAAGACGGACUUAGUGAUCCGGUGGUUCCGCAUGGAAGGGCCAUCGCUCAACGGAUAAAAGCUACCCCGGGGAUAACAGGCUUAUCUCCCCCAAGAGUUCACAUCGACGGGGAGGUUUGGCACCUCGAUGUCGGCUCAUCGCAUCCUGGGGCUGUAGUCGGUCCCAAGGGUUGGGCUGUUCGCCCAUUAAAGCGGUACGCGAGCUGGGUUCAGAACGUCGUGAGACAGUUCGGUCCCUAUCCGUCGUGGGCGUAGGAAAUUUGAGAGGAGCUGUCCUUAGUACGAGAGGACCGGGAUGGACAUACCUCUGGUGUACCAGUUGUCGUGCCAACGGCAUAGCUGGGUAGCUAUGUAUGGACGGGAUAAGUGCUGAAAGCAUCUAAGCAUGAAGCCCCCCUCAAGAUGAGAUUUCCCAACUUCGGUUAUAAGAUCCCUCGAAGAUGACGAGGUUAAUAGGUUCGAGGUGGAAGCGUGGUGACACGUGGAGCUGACGAAUACUAAUCGAUCGAAGACUUAAUCAAUAUU
RNAcentral lists this ribosomal RNA (1462 nucleotides) under Staphylococcus sp. HMSC066C03. RNAcentral describes it as "bacterial LSU rRNA". It matches the Rfam family "Bacterial large subunit ribosomal RNA", at positions 1466 to 2925 of the family's 2925-position model. Lineage: Bacteria; Bacillati; Bacillota; Bacilli; Caryophanales; Staphylococcaceae. The record is from RNAcentral.